ACUGCUUUUGAUCUCUGAAACUUUUUGGCACAAACCUGUUGAUAAACAAUUCCACAAAUUGGGUCCAAGAUAAUCCCUCAAUAUGAGGUAGUACGUAGUCUGUCAUCAACUGUCUUGGCACUAGCCCUAAUACAUGUUGCACACUCUCUAUAAGCCUCAUAUCAGUCAACUACAACUUUAUCCUUGCCUGUUUGCAGGAAUCCAAAAAUCGAUAAGCAUCAUCUGACACAUCAUAAGUA
This 239-nucleotide unclassified non-coding RNA is filed under the name Hevea brasiliensis (rubber tree). The record is from RNAcentral. Lineage: Eukaryota; Viridiplantae; Streptophyta; Magnoliopsida; Malpighiales; Euphorbiaceae.